RNAcentral lists this unclassified non-coding RNA (362 nucleotides) under air metagenome. RNAcentral describes it as "partial contains small subunit ribosomal RNA, internal transcribed spacer 1, and 5.8S ribosomal RNA". The stretch from base 1 to 46 matches the Rfam family "Eukaryotic small subunit ribosomal RNA", at positions 1786 to 1831 of the family's 1831-position model. The record is from RNAcentral.
AAGUCGUAACAAGGUUUCCGUAGGUGAACCUGCGGAAGGAUCAUUAUUGAAGCUUGAAUCGUAGCAUUGAGAACUGUUGCUGACCUGUGAAAGGGUAUGUGCACGUUCGUUGUGUUGCGUUUUAUUCUUUUCCCCCUGUGCACGUUUGUAGACUUGGUUAGUUGUUCGCUGUUGAGUGGUUAGAAGGGUUGCUUUCUAGCUCCCUUUGUUUUCACUCUGAAGCGGUUAGAAGGGUUGCUCUUGAGCUCCCUUUGUCUACCAAGUCUAUGUCUAUAAUCUCUUGUAUGUCUAGAAUGUUUUGUUUAUGGGACGCAAGUCCUUUAAAUUUUAUACAACUUUCAACAACGGAUCUCUUGGCUCUC